This 253-nucleotide ribosomal RNA is filed under the name uncultured bacterium. Its description in RNAcentral is "partial 16S ribosomal RNA". It matches the Rfam family "Bacterial small subunit ribosomal RNA", at positions 28 to 302 of the family's 1533-position model. The record is from RNAcentral.
GAUGAACGCUGGCGACGUGGAUAAGGCAUGCAAGUCGAACGGAUACUAUAGCAAUAUAGUAUUAGUGGCGAACGAGGUAGUAAUAGGUAGGUACGCACCCUGAAGUCGAGAAUAACUGAUCGAAAGAUCAGCUAAUACUCGAUAGUCUCUUCGGAGUAAAGUUUUAACGCUUCAGGAGCGGCCUGCUCGGUAUCAGCUAGUUGGUAGUGUAAAAGACUACCAAGGCAUGACGCCUAGGGGAGCUGAGAGGCUG